This 1360-nucleotide ribosomal RNA is filed under the name uncultured bacterium. RNAcentral's name for it is "bacterial SSU rRNA". It matches the Rfam family "Bacterial small subunit ribosomal RNA", at positions 38 to 1399 of the family's 1533-position model. The record is from RNAcentral.
GGCGGCGUGCUUAACGCAUGCAAGUCGAACGAGAAUCCGCUGAAGGAGGAUUCGUCCAACGGAAGCAGAGGAAAGUGGCGGACGGGUGAGUAACGCGUGAGGAACCUGCCUUGAAGAGGGGGACAACAGUUGGAAACGACUGCUAAUACCGCAUGACGCAUAGAGGUCGCAUGAUCUUUAUGCCAAAGAUUUAUCGCUUCAAGAUGGCCUCGCGUCUGAUUAGCUGGUUGGCGGGGUAACGGCCCACCAAGGCGACGAUCAGUAGCCGGACUGAGAGGUUGAACGGCCACAUUGGGACUGAGAUACGGCCCAGACUCCUACGGGAUGUUUCCCCGGCGAAUAUUGGGCAAUGGGCGCAAGCCUGACCCAGCUACGCCGCGUGAAGGAAGAAGGCUUUCGGGUUGUAAACUUCUUUUAAGAGGGAAGAGCAGAAGACGGCACCUCUAGAAUAAGCCCCGGCUAACUACGUGCCAGCAGCCGCGGUAAUACGUAGGGGGCAAGCGUUAUUCCGGAUUUACUGGGUCGUAAAGGGAGCGCAGACGGCGAUGCAAGUCUGGUGUGAAAACCCGGGGCUCAACCCCGGGCAUCGCAUUGGAAACUGUGUGACUGGAGUGCAGGAGAGGUAAGCGGAAUUCCUAGUGUAGCGGUGAAAUGCGUAGAUAUUAGGAGGGACACCAGUGGGGAAGGCGGAUUGCUGGACGACAACUGACGGUGAGGCGCGAAAGCGUGGGGAGCAAACAGGAUUAGAUACCCUGGUAGUCCACGCUGUAAACGAUGAAUACUAGGUGUGCGGGGACUGACCCCCUGCGUGCCGCAGCUAACGCAAUAAGUAUUCCACCUGGGGAGUACGAUCGCAAGGUUGAAACUCAAAGGAAUUGACGGGGGCCCGCACAAGCGGUGGAUUAUGUGGUUUAAUUCGAAGCAACGCGAAGAACCUUACCAGGGCUUGACAUCCUACUAACGAAGUAGAGAUACAUCAGGUGCCCUUCGGGGAAAGUAGAGACAGGUGGUGCAUGGUUGUCGUCAGCUCGUGUCGUGAGAUGUUGGGUUAAGUCCCGCAACGAGCGCAACCCUUAUUGUUAGUUGCUACGCAAGAGCACUCUAGCGAGACUGCCGUUGACAAAACGGAGGAAGGUGGGGACGACGUCAAAUCAUCAUGCCCCUUAUGUCCUGGGCUACACACGUAAUACAAUGGCGCACACAGAGGGAAGCAAAACCGCGAGGUGGAGCAAAUCCCUAAAAGGCGUCUCAGUUCGGAUUGCAGGCUGCAACUCGCCUGCAUGAAGUUGGAAUUGCUAGUAAUCGUGGAUCAGCAUGCCACGGUGAAUACGUUCCCGGGCCUUGCACUCACCGCCCGUCA